AAAUUUACAUAACAUUGCUUUUCAAGUUUCAGGAAUCACUUUAGCAGCCACAUUUGAAAGUAUAUAUCUAGCAAACCAAGCAAAAGCAAAAUUAAAGAUAGAAGAAGAAUAAGAAGCCAUCUAAAGAAAAAACAACCCAAUGCAAAAAUCACCAAAAUCAUGUAAAAAAAGAAGAGAUAAAAAUCAAUUGAAAGCAAAAUAGAUCUACACACAUCAAUAUAGAUAUUUUUGUCCUAAACAAACAAUUCAAUUCGAGUCCACACAUAUCUGAAGUACAUGAAUAACGAAUAACAAAUUACAAAUGACAAAGCCAUAACCCCCUUAAACUUAUGCCUAUUCUCAAUAAUGCUCUUAACAAUUCUAACCAAGAAAGCUACACCUGCAACAACUAUUAACCGCCUACUGCACCAGACAUAUAAUGUAACUAAACAUACCAAUUACCACAAAUUGAGACAUGACCAAGAGCCUAAAAAAAUACAUAUGGCUUUCCUUCUAAAAAAGUAUCAGCAUUACACACGUAAAGUAUCAACACAACACAUCUAUGACAAUUAAUUUUUAAGAAUCAAUUGAUACAUACACAAACGUUGUCAGACCAAUCUACAUGUUCUGUAAUGAAUUAUUCACUACAUGUGGUUAGCAUUCACUAUGCUCUUGCUAUACCUACUUUUGCUUCACAACCAAUAUGAUCUCUACGAUACAUACCUUCACAUCAUAAGUGUUUUAUAAUUAUAUCAAGCAUAGAUAAUGUCAUUUGUAAUCUUUAUGUCAGUUUAUUGCCCAAACAUGGAGAAUGUCGCCAUCUGCCACAAUUAUCCAAGGUGAACAAUAUUGUAAAGUAUUCAACAGUCAAAUGCUUAUUGUCCAAAUGUAAAAAUAAAGUCAUCAUUUUCCCAAUGUCAUUGACACUAAUGUUUGAUGAAGAAAAAAAGAGAAUUGAUUGCUAGAAUAGUCUUUAAUUACCUUUAGGUGAAGCUUGCAAGUGUGUUUGGUUGCAACUCGUACUAUUUGUAUUGGAGCAGAAAGUUAUAUUCCUUGUUUUUUAUAAUUGUCAAGUUGCUUCAUCUCUUGCCAUUUUCUGUAUGACAAUUUAAGUAGGUAAUUUCAUAUGAACUAACAAAGUAAACAUUGAAAAAAAGAAGCAAACCAUAGGCUUUAACAAUAGAUGAGCAAUCAACAUCUUAAUACUGUGACAGUCAAAAUAAUGCCAUAGCAUUCAUAAUGCUUCAGAUUUGAGAAAAAUGUUCUACCACAAUAUCUUCAA
This 1261-nucleotide long non-coding RNA is filed under the name Medicago truncatula (barrel medic). RNAcentral's name for it is "long non-coding RNA (MTRU_LNC006353)". The record is from RNAcentral. Lineage: Eukaryota; Viridiplantae; Streptophyta; Magnoliopsida; Fabales; Fabaceae.